ACGCUGGCGGCGUGCCUAAUACAUGCAAGUCGAGCGAAUGGAUUAAGAGCUUGCUCUUAUGAAGUUAGCGGCGGACGGGUGAGUAACACGUGGGUAACCUGCCCAUAAGACUGGGAUAACUCCGGGAAACCGGGGCUAAUACCGGAUAACAUUUUGAACCGCAUGGUUCGAAAUUGAAAGGCGGCUUCGGCUGUCACUUAUGGAUGGACCCGCGUCGCAUUAGCUAGUUGGUGAGGUAACGGCUCACCAAGGCAACGAUGCGUAGCCGACCUGAGAGGGUGAUCGGCCACACUGGGACUGAGACACGGCCCAGACUCCUACGGGAGGCAGCAGUAGGGAAUCUUCCGCAAUGGACGAAAGUCUGACGGAGCAACGCCGCGUGAGUGAUGAAGGCUUUCGGGUCGUAAAACUCUGUUGUUAGGGAAGAACAAGUGCUAGUUGAAUAAGCUGGCACCUUGACGGUACCUAACCAGAAAGCCACGGCUAACUACGUGCCAGCAGCCGCGGUAAUACGUAGGUGGCAAGCGUUAUCCGGAAUUAUUGGGCGUAAAGCGCGCGCAGGUGGUUUCUUAAGUCUGAUGUGAAAGCCCACGGCUCAACCGUGGAGGGUCAUUGGAAACUGGGAGACUUGAGUGCAGAAGAAGAAAGUGGAAUUCCAUGUGUAGCGGUGAAAUGCGUAGAGAUAUGGAGGAACACCCAGUGGCGAAAGCGACUUUUCUGGUCUGUAACUGACACUGA
This 738-nucleotide ribosomal RNA is filed under the name Bacillus cereus. RNAcentral's name for it is "bacterial SSU rRNA". It matches the Rfam family "Bacterial small subunit ribosomal RNA", at positions 33 to 749 of the family's 1533-position model. The record is from RNAcentral. Lineage: Bacteria; Bacillati; Bacillota; Bacilli; Caryophanales; Bacillaceae.